Non-coding RNA from Lates calcarifer (barramundi perch), 573 nucleotides. NCBI's taxonomy places the organism in Eukaryota, Metazoa, Chordata, Actinopteri, Centropomidae. The record is from the annotation of a RefSeq genome assembly.
UAUCACUUCCUUUUCCUCUGUAAAGGCCAGCUCAGUGGAGGCAUCAGUUGAAUCUUCAUCACUAACAUCACUAACACGUAUCCUGUCAGGGUCUUAAGCAAUUCUUUUAUUUUGAGGAAGAUAAAAUGAUCUGCUUUCUCCUCUUCUGUUGUCUGGCAGGUGUUAGUCUGGGUCUUGAGGUCCGUCAGUCUCACUCUGAUCUCAUCAAAAAACCUGGUGACAAAGUGCAGAUUUUCUGCAGCCAUGAUAAGACUGACUACAGGGUGAUGCUCUGGUACCAGCGUUCACCAGGAGACACAGCAUUGAAACUCAUUGGAUACUUGAACUUCAAAGAUGUUAAAAUGGAAGAGCUAUAUGAUGAAGAUUUUAAAAUCUCUGGAGAUUUGUCUGGGAAUACAGCAAAGAAUGGCUCUCUGAUAUUAAAUCUUGCAGAAAAAGAGCACAGUGCAGUUUACUACUGUGCAGCCAGAGAAACACUGUGACAAAAAUUCCCUCUGAACUGAACAAAAACUCUGCACAAUCUUUUAUCGUCAAUGGCUUUGAAGUAGACACUGAAUAAAUUGCUGCCAGACA